Molecule: ribosomal RNA, 379 nt
Filed under: uncultured eukaryote
Lineage: Eukaryota
Description: partial 18S ribosomal RNA
Rfam family: Eukaryotic small subunit ribosomal RNA
Source: RNAcentral
CAAUAGCGUAUAUUAAAGUUGUUGCGGUAAAAAAGCUCGUAGUUGGAUUUCUGUUGAGAGCGACCGGUCCAUACCAUGUAUGUGUAUCUGGCUUGCUCUCGGCAUCCUCUCGAUAGACGUUACUGCGCUUGAUUGCGUGGUGCGGAUCUCGGGACUUUUACUUUGAGGAAAUUAGAGUGUUCACGGCAGGCUUUCGCCAGAAUACAUUAGCAUGGAAUAAUACUAUAGGAUCUUGGUUCUAUUUUGUUGGUUUCUAGAAUUGAGAUAAUGAUUAAUAGGGACAAUUGGGGGCAUUCGUAUCAACACGUCAGAGGUGGAAUUCUUGGAUUGUGUUGCGACGAACUACUGCGAAAGCAUUUGCCAAGGAUGUUUUCAUUGA